AUGAGUCACGGAGAUGGCACUGAUCUUUUCGGUUCUCAAAGGCCAGAAACGCCCCCUUGGGAUGCAUCAGAAUACAGUCAACUCAUUUCUGCAGGGCCGUUGCUACCACUACUAGAACAGUACGCAGGCAUUGGUUCUUAUGACCAAAACACACUGAGGGGGGCACCAUGGCAAGUUCAGUCACAGGGCGCUAACACUGACAAAUGUAUGGGCAGCCAACUUCAAGUAGCUAAUGUGGCAAAUCAGGAGCCUUCGUGCAACACGUGGCAUCAGGAGGCACCCAUGUACCUGCCAUCGACGUCAUACACAGGUUAUUACGAUGCUUCUACCCUGGCAAACGUCUCAUGGCAAGCUUCACACAAUGCAGAUAGAGCACAUCAAUUUGGUGUUACACACCACACAAGAUGGGCACAUGCAGCACAACAAGGACAUCUACUGACUACAACUACAAUGAACAGCGGCGCAGGGGCAUCUACUGCGGGAAGCUCUGAGCGCACGGAAGACGCAGUCCUCCAGCCAGCCACAAGUCAUGUCGCAAACAAUACCGAGUCAGAGUCAGAAAUGGCAAUCAUUCCUGCAAUGCCGACAAGCACCCCUUUGAACACAAGCACUGGGAACACUCAAGUAGAUCAAACUGCCACCGAUACUGAAGUGAAUCAUGAAACUAAUGACGAAGCACAAUGGGAUGAAGAUGGUGGGCAAUCAGAGAUCAUGGUACCUCAGCCACCGUACAUUGGGCAGAGAUUUGAAUCGUUCGAAGAAGCAAAGGAAUUCUACCAGACAUAUGCAAAGUUCCAUGGGUUUGCGGUCAACACCGAAUACCAUAGGAAGAUUAAGAAAACAAACGAAUACAGCAGAGGUGAGAUGAGGUGCCACAAGGCACGAAGGAACAAGAAGGGGAAAGAUUCAGAACCUGAUGACCCGGACAAGGGAAGGAACUACUUCGUGAAAGCCUCGAUCGGCCAAGGCGAAUACUACUGGCAAUGCUGCAAGUUUGAACGGGACGGCAUUGUGUGUUGUCACAUACUAAAAGUAAUGGACAUGAACGUGGUGACACGGAUGCCCUGCCAUUUCAUAAGGCGGCGAUGGACUUGGGACGCUGACGACGCGUUGGCGCCGCAGACAACAAACGCAGUCCUGGCUGUACAUGACGAGAGACCGGAGUCAACCAUGGAAGCCGUGAGGCACGUUGUGCUGACAAAGAACUAUGCUGAGCUAAUUGAUGAAGCAUGCAAGAGUGAUGAGACAGCGAGAGUCGCAGAAAAACACAGGAAGGCCCUAAAAAGAGAGCUUGAUGAGAUCAAGAAGAGGAAAGCUGAGGAAGCCUUACACCGGUUCCCCCGCACGUCAAGUGUGCCUUCAUCCACGGGGCCAUCGUCAGAAAACUCGGAGAUAGGAUCUGGAACAGCAAGCACACAAACCCAGGUCAGGAACCCGCCCCAUUCCAUCACAAAGGGGCGUCCAAAAGAGAUAAGAUACAAAUCGGGAUUGGAGAUUCAAGCAAAACACAAGAAAACAAAGAAAGGGACAGGCAAUCCGUAA
This 1542-nucleotide ribosomal RNA is filed under the name Triticum aestivum (bread wheat). RNAcentral's name for it is "partial small subunit ribosomal RNA". The record is from RNAcentral. Lineage: Eukaryota; Viridiplantae; Streptophyta; Magnoliopsida; Poales; Poaceae.